GAGUUUGAUCCUGGCUCAGAACGAACGCUGGCGGCGUGCCUAACACACGCAAGUCGAACGUGAUCCAGAGCUUGCUCUGGUGAAAGUGGCGCACGGGUGAGUAACGCGUGGAUAACCUACCCUGGUAUCCGGGAUAACAUUCCGAAAGGGGUGCUAAUACCGGAUAAGCCCACGGGCUCUUUGGAGCUUGCGGGAAAAGGUGGCCUCUAUUUAUAAGCUACUGUAUCAGGAUGGGUCCGCGUACCAUUAGCUAGUUGGCGGUGUAACGGACCACCAAGGCGACGAUGGUUAGCUGGUCUGAGAGGAUGAUCAGCCACACUGGAACUGAGACACGGUCCAGACUCCUACGGGAGGCAGCAGUGGGGAAUUUUGCGCAAUGGGGGAAACCCUGACGCAGCAACGCCGCGUGAGUGAUGAAGGCCUUUGGGUCGUAAAGCUCUGUCAGAGGAGAAGAAAUGAUAUAGUGCUAAUACCACUUUAUCUUGACGGUACCCUCAAAGGAAGCACCGGCUAACUCCGUGCCAGCAGCCGCGGUAAUAC
RNAcentral lists this ribosomal RNA (540 nucleotides) under uncultured Geobacteraceae bacterium. Its description in RNAcentral is "bacterial SSU rRNA". It matches the Rfam family "Bacterial small subunit ribosomal RNA", at positions 9 to 526 of the family's 1533-position model. Lineage: Bacteria; Pseudomonadati; Thermodesulfobacteriota; Desulfuromonadia; Geobacterales; Geobacteraceae. The record is from RNAcentral.